AGGCCCAGCCCAGCCCGGGGCCCCGCGGCCCGGCCUCGGUGGGGCACGUCCCUCGGCUCUGCUUUGGCCGGGGCCCAGCCGGGAUCCUGCGGCCUGGCCUUCGCCGGCCCCCCAAGGCGGGCUGCCUCCUGCAGACGAGCCCCAGGCCACGGCUGCCUGCCCAGGUCCCCUGGAGUAGCCGAUUCCCACAACCCAGCUAGGCCUUGUCCAGGCCCUGCAGUCCAGGCAGCCCCCCAGCCCAGCCUCGGCCAGCCCUAUCUUCACCGCCCCAACAGAUUUAGGCAGGAGGAGAACAAACACCUGGCAGGAGCAAGCAGGUUCCUGCAGGCACAGGAGAGAGUAGAGGCUGCUGCCACCGGCCAUUGCUGUGGAGGCAUGGCACUAGGAAAGCAGGCCAUGCUGGGUCUCAUGGUGUGAGUACGUUAACUAGCUCCACUGUGGGAUUUUUGUUACUCUUAAUGUCACAUCCCACAUAAUUGUAACAUCUGGGAAAAGAAGGAAGAAACAACCUUUGCAAUCUUGGAGUCAACAGAGAGACCAGCUCCCUCCCUUUGCAGCUGUUGCUGAGGAAGACUCCCCUUCUGAUAGCUCAAGGUUAGCUGGCUCCUGUCGUCUAUUUUCCCUGGAAAAAACGUUACAAUGUGUUUGACAGCUCACAGCAGCCAAACUACAAUGAGACUGAUGGUCUGCAUGCAUGUUGGUGCACGUGUGCGGUUCUAACAGUGGUGGAACACCCCCCCCUUAAGCAUUGCACCAGAGCGUGUCAAGGUUAUGAGUAGUGUUAAAUUCCCUAUGUACAGACACCACAAAGGUCAUUGUAUUUUAAGUCCCUGAUCCUAAAUCUUGUGUAAUCUCUUCCUAUUUUGCACUAGUGAACAGCAGAGUGGGUGGGCUCAAAGUCGUCUGCCAAGUAUUUCUUUGGGGCAGCAAACAUCGUCUGCCUCCUGCCACAGUUACACCCUUCUUGCUCUGCUGAAAUUAAUAUUCUGUUUGCAAGGCCUGCAGAUCUGAUCUCUCUAGCCUGCUUCCUUUGAUGUGCCUUCAAGAAGUCAUGUUUCUUUCUUUUCUCCUGUCUGCCUGACCAGGAUGGUUUCUGCAGUUUUUUCUCCCUCCCUCCUGUCCAUGUCUCUCCCCUCAGGUGGCUUCAGAACAACUUUUAGCUAUCGUCACUGUUGUUGGUUCUCCUAACUUACCUGUCCUAAAGAAUCUCAGGCAUUCUUGAAUGGGAGGUUGCAGGGCUACAUAAAAUAAUAAUAAAUAUCUCCCUUCCCAGCAGGUCUGAAUUAGCAUCCUCUUUCUAAGAGUCUCUUAGGAUGUUAAUUGUCAUCUGCCCCCUGGGAUGUGUCUAAGUAAACCUUCUACCAGCAAGGUCUAUUAGCAUGUUAAUGUCCUCCUCACUCCUGGAAGUCUCUUUGUAUCACUGGCUUAAUCGUCAAACAGCUUAAUUUACAGACACAAAAUUAAACUGGUCGCAAUUAA
Molecule: long non-coding RNA, 1479 nt
Organism: Falco peregrinus (peregrine falcon)
Lineage: Eukaryota; Metazoa; Chordata; Aves; Falconiformes; Falconidae
Exons: 2
Source: RefSeq, a predicted model, not a curated record